Molecule: ribosomal RNA, 642 nt
Filed under: Passiflora tripartita var. mollissima
Lineage: Eukaryota; Viridiplantae; Streptophyta; Magnoliopsida; Malpighiales; Passifloraceae
Description: eukaryotic LSU rRNA
Rfam family: 5.8S ribosomal RNA (bases 252-407)
Source: RNAcentral
UUUCCGUAGGUGAACCUGCGGAAGGAUCAUUGUCGAAACCUGCAAAGCAGAACGACCCGCGAACCGUUGCGAAAAUCACGGCGGGGCGCGGGGGAGCCGCGCCCGAGCUCUCCCACGGACCCGCCCCACGAACAAAACCCCGGCGCGACACGCGCCAAGGAAUUCAAAACGAAAAGACAGGGAACGGGCGGCCCGUCGGGCGCCGGGAACGGAAUCCCCGCGGGCGGUCCCUUUCCUUUCGGAAACAAAACGACUCUCGGCAACGGAUAUCUCGGCUCUCGCAUCGAUGAAGAACGUAGCGAAAUGCGAUACUUGGUGUGAAUUGCAGAAUCCCGUGAACCAUCGAGUCUUUGAACGCAAGUUGCGCCCGAAGCCUUCGGGCCGAGGGCACGUCUGCCUGGGUGUCAUGCAUCGUCGCCCCCCCCAAUCCUUCGGGGUACGGGGCGGGCGGAGACUGGUCUCCCGUGCGCUCCCGCUCGCGGCUGGCCGAAAUACGAGUUGUUGGCGGCCGAGAGCGCCACGGCAAGCGGUGGUUGUCGAGACCUUCGGAGAUUGCCGUCGGCGAGGCCGUCGCGAGGCUCCGGGACCCUGUUUUCUACCCACAGCGACCCCAGGUCAGGCGGGAUUACCCGCUGAGUUUAA